Molecule: long non-coding RNA, 444 nt
Organism: Salvelinus sp. IW2-2015
Lineage: Eukaryota; Metazoa; Chordata; Actinopteri; Salmoniformes; Salmonidae
Source: RefSeq, a predicted model, not a curated record
UCUCCCUCUCUCUCUCACGGCGCUCUCUCUCCUCUCUAGGCACAGUCCCUUCAGACAGCACAAGACCAAAGACAAACACGAGAUUGACCGCAUGACGCUCACUAUGAACGUGGAGUUGCCAGACUCGUUCUCUGUGGAGCUGAAGGGUCUGUUGGAGGGUCUGCUGCAGAGAGACGUGGCCAAGAGACUGGGCUGCUUGGGACGAGGGGCCCCAGAGGUGAAGGAGCAUCUGUUCUUCAAAGGCAUCGACUGGCAGCAAGUGUAUCUUCAGAAGGUAAGCCUUAGAGUGUGUGUGAUGAAUCGGGAGAACAGGUUCGUUAUAAAGCCUGCCCGUCUGGACAUUCGGCUAUCUCUCUCUCUCUCUCAGUGCUCGAUCAGUUGCCAUGGUUACUCCUCUGCUGAAGGAAUUGAGUAGUUGUUGUUUUGUUUACUCGCCCUCUUUUU